UCACUAGCAUUCCUCUCUCUCUCUCUAUCUCUCCUUGAGUGUGUUUGUAGUAGGCAAUGGCCAGAUCCAAGGCUCUUCCUCUGCUAUUCUUUCUUGGCCUCCUAUCGUUCUCUUUCAGUCCGGCAAUAGCAACCAUCAAAUUCAACUUCUUUUACCUGACCCUCAUGGUACCCAUUGUUAUCAUGCUGGUUCAAAGAACAUCAACAUAGCUACCAC
This 216-nucleotide long non-coding RNA is filed under the name Elaeis guineensis (African oil palm). Its description in RNAcentral is "long non-coding RNA (EGUI_LNC079332)". The record is from RNAcentral. Lineage: Eukaryota; Viridiplantae; Streptophyta; Magnoliopsida; Arecales; Arecaceae.